UGCUAAUUAGCCGGACUUUGCACUUUGACCCCGGGCCGCCAUUGACGCCGAGCUGCUGUGUGAAAGCAGCCUUUAAAGCAAAGAAGAGGCAACAACACAAACCUGUUCUUGGAACCGCACCGCCAGAAGACAUCUUUGUUGUUCUUUCCAAGAGUUCACUUAAGGUCCACAAUCGCUGACAACUUUCAGUGGCAUUUGUUGACAAGUUCAUCACUCAGUUGAGGCGUGAAUACUUUGAGGUGCCUCCUCACCCAGACUCCACCUGCAGCGGCCCCCCAGCAGUCCAGCAUUAACUGAUGCAGAUGCGGAGGACAGUUCACCGGUGCAGGCAGCCUGAAUCCGUCCUCGAUGGCCUUGAUCACCUGCAACAUGGACCGCGAGAACCACGUUCCAUUAGUUUGGUGAAUUCCCCAAAGGCGUCAGCGUGGAGUUGGAGAGCAAGUUUACGGGGUCCAUGACGAUGACUUCUGUUUUGUUUGAUCAGCCGUUUUACUGCCCUGACACAGACACCGUUUGGAAACAAUUAAGUUUGGUGAAUUCACCAAAGACGUCAGCGUGGAGUUGGAGAGCGAGCUUCCGGGUCCAUGACGAUGACUUCUGUUUUGUUUGAUCAGCCGUUUUACUGCCCUGACACAGACACCGUUUGGAAACAAUUAAGUUUGGUGAAUUCACCAAAGACGUCACCGUGGAGUUGGAGAGCGAGCUUCCGGGGUCCAUGACGAUGACUUCUGUUUUGUUUGAUCAUCCGUUUUACUGCCCUGACACAGACACCAUUUGGAAACAAUUAAGGCCACUUACAUCCUGGUUGCCCAUGUCCCAGUAGGGCCUCUCCCCGUAGGACAUGACCUCCCACAUGACGAUACCAAAGCUCCAGACAUCUGAGGGCGAGGAGAAGCGGUGAUACUGGAUGGCCUCUGGAGCGGUCCACAGAACCACACUCUUCCCUCCGUGCUGGAGAGGACACCACAGUGGACAUGAUGGCUACGUGUUGGGACCCUGGCCGCGUCUUGCACCUUCUCUCCACUUCCACGGGGCGGUUUGUCCCUUCUGGCUGGGAGUGUUGAUCCCCUCCAAGUGUGAGAUAUUGAGGCUCCUUCCAAUCUACCUCCCCUCCCUGGCUGUCCAGUUCGAAAACCCGCUUUUCAUUUCCUUCCGAGCCGAGCAUAAGUUUCGCCCUCUCCGCAUUGAAAUAGUAAGAUUCUAAUUCCGUUUUUUCUCUUAUAAAUUGCUUCACACAAUCAA
Long non-coding RNA from Nerophis ophidion (straightnose pipefish), 1242 nucleotides. RefSeq lists it as uncharacterized. NCBI's taxonomy places the organism in Eukaryota, Metazoa, Chordata, Actinopteri, Syngnathiformes, Syngnathidae. The record is from RefSeq and is a predicted model, not a curated record. The transcript is spliced from 9 exons.